RNAcentral lists this ribosomal RNA (1341 nucleotides) under metagenome. Its description in RNAcentral is "bacterial SSU rRNA". It matches the Rfam family "Bacterial small subunit ribosomal RNA", at positions 8 to 1370 of the family's 1533-position model. The record is from RNAcentral.
AGAGUUUGAUCCUGGCUCAGGACGAACGCUGGCGGCGCGCCUAACACAUGCAAGUCGAACGAGCGAGAGAGAGCUUGCUUUCUUGAGCGAGUGGCGAACGGGUGAGUAACGCGUGAGGAACCUGCCUCAAAGAGGGGGACAACAGUUGGAAACGACUGCUAAUACCGCUUAAGCCCACGGCUCGGCAUCGAGCAGAGGGAAAAGGAGCAAUCCGCUUUGAGAUGGCCUCGCGUCCGAUUAGCUAGUUGGUGAGGUAACGGCCCACCAAGGCGACGAUCGGUAGCCGGACUGAGAGGUUGAACGGCCACAUUGGGACUGAGACACGGCCCAGACUCCUACGGGAGGCAGCAGUGGGGAAUAUUGCACAAUGGGGGAAACCCUGAUGCAGCGACGCCGCGUGGAGGAAGAAGGUCUUCGGAUUGUAAACUCCUGUUGUUGAGGAAGAUAAUGACGGUACUCAACAAGGAAGUGACGGCUAACUACGUGCCAGCAGCCGCGGUAAAACGUAGGUCACAAGCGUUGUCCGGAAUUACUGGGUGUAAAGGGAGCGCAGGCGGGAAGACAAGUUGGAAGUGAAAUCCAUGGGCUCAACCCAUGAACUGCUUUCAAAACUGUUUUUCUUGAGUAGUGCAGAGGUAGGCGGAAUUCCCGGUGUAGCGGUGGAAUGCGUAGAUAUCGGGAGGAACACCAGUGGCGAAGGCGGCCUACUGGGCACCAACUGACGCUGAGGCUCGAAAGUGUGGGUAGCAAACAGGAUUAGAUACCCUGGUAGUCCACACUGUAAACGAUGAUUACUAGGUGUUGGAGGAUUGACCCCUUCAGUGCCGCAGUUAACACAAUAAGUAAUCCACCUGGGGAGUACGACCGCAAGGUUGAAACUCAAAGGAAUUGACGGGGGCCCGCACAAGCAGUGGAGUAUGUGGUUUAAUUCGACGCAACGCGAAGAACCUUACCAAGUCUUGACAUCCUGCGACGCACAUAGAAAUAUGUGUUUCCUUCGGGACGCAGAGACAGGUGGUGCAUGGUUGUCGUCAGCUCGUGUCGUGAGAUGUUGGGUUAAGUCCCGCAACGAGCGCAACCCUUAUGGUCAGUUACUACGCAAGAGGACUCUGGCCAGACUGCCGUUGACAAAACGGAGGAAGGUGGGGAUGACGUCAAAUCAUCAUGCCCUUUAUGACUUGGGCUACACACGUACUACAAUGGCGUUAAACAAAGAGAAGCAAGACCGCGAGGUGGAGCAAAACUCAGAAACAACGUCCCAGUUCGGACUGCAGGCUGCAACUCGCCUGCACGAAGUCGGAAUUGCUAGUAAUCGCAGAUCAGCAUGCUGCGGUGAAUACG